AACGAACGCUGGCGGCAUGCCUAACACAUGCAAGUCGAACGAGACCUUCGGGUCUAGUGGCGCACGGGUGCGUAACGCGUGGGAAUCUGCCCUUGGGUUCGGAAUAACAGUUAGAAAUGACUGCUAAUACCGGAUAAUGUCUUCGGACCAAAGAUUUAUCGCCCAGGGAUGAGCCCGCGUAGGAUUAGCUAGUUGGUGAGGUAAAGGCUCACCAAGGCGACGAUCCUUAGCUGGUCUGAGAGGAUGAUCAGCCACACUGGGACUGAGACACGGCCCAGACUCCUACGGGAGGCAGCAGUGGGGAAUAUUGGACAAUGGGCGAAAGCCUGAUCCAGCAAUGCCGCGUGAGUGAUGAAGGCCCUAGGGUUGUAAAGCUCUUUUGUGCGGGAAGAUAAUGACGGUACCGCAAGAAUAAGCCCCGGCUAACUUCGUGCCAGCAGCCGCGG
This 446-nucleotide ribosomal RNA is filed under the name uncultured bacterium. RNAcentral describes it as "bacterial SSU rRNA". It matches the Rfam family "Bacterial small subunit ribosomal RNA", at positions 29 to 520 of the family's 1533-position model. The record is from RNAcentral.